Long non-coding RNA from Oncorhynchus masou masou (cherry salmon), 346 nucleotides. RefSeq lists it as uncharacterized. The transcript is spliced from 3 exons. Lineage: Eukaryota; Metazoa; Chordata; Actinopteri; Salmoniformes; Salmonidae. The record is from RefSeq and is a predicted model, not a curated record.
CCCCGGGGCCCCACCCAUCACCCCCAGGAACAAACUGUCCUUCAGCCUGCUCACCGUCUCCAGUCUGGAGCUGAACGGGAUGGGGGUUGAUAAAGGAGAGACUCCUCCCCCCCUGCCCGUGAAGGGCAUCUCUGCUGAUUAUGGGAACCUGCUAGGAGAUAAUCAAGACUUGACGAGUCCCUCCACCCCUCCCCUGACACACCAUCAAAGGCAUUUGCCACCUCCUCUUCCCAGCAAGACCCCUCCUCCCCUCCCCCUAAGACCACCAGGAAACAAGCCUCCAUCGAUUCAGGAAUUGUACAAUAAACAAUGACAUUAAGACACCCGAUUUAAAACACACAAGGUU